RNAcentral lists this ribosomal RNA (588 nucleotides) under Acremonium sp. 1 C17. Its description in RNAcentral is "eukaryotic LSU rRNA". The stretch from base 192 to 346 matches the Rfam family "5.8S ribosomal RNA". The record is from RNAcentral. Lineage: Eukaryota; Fungi; Ascomycota; Sordariomycetes; Hypocreales; Bionectriaceae.
GCUAAUGCAGACGAGGAGGGAUCAUUACCAGAGAGCCUUUUGGCACUCCACCCAUUGUGAACAUACCUACGUUUCCCUCGGCGGGCUCAGCGCGAGGCGGUCUUCCGCCCUCGCGUCCGCCGGGGGCACCCAAACUCGAAUUUAUAUCGUGUAUCUCUGAGGGGCGAAAGCCCGUAAAACAAAUGAAUCAAAACUUUCAACAACGGAUCUCUUGGCCCUUGGCUUCGAUGAAGAACGCAGCGAAAUGCGAUAAGUAAUGUGAAUUGCAGAAUUCAGUGAAUCAUCGAAUCUUUGAACGCACAUUGCGCCCGCCGGCACUCCGGCGGGCAUGCCUGUCCGAGCGUCAUUUCAACCCUCAGGCCCUCCCUUUCGGGGGAACGGCCUGGUGUUGGGGCCCGGCGACCGCUCCGGCGGUCCCCGUCCACUAAGUUCAGUGGCGAUCGCGCCGCACCCUCCCGUGCAUAGUAUCACACCUCGGAGUGGAGAGCGUCUCGGCCACGCCUCGAAUGCAGUGUCUGUGUGAAGUUGAGAUCCGGUCCGAUCACCAUCUCAACUUAACUAUCUUGUUUUAAAACAACACACAAACAC